This 827-nucleotide ribosomal RNA is filed under the name Staphylococcus sp. SENDO2. RNAcentral's name for it is "partial 16S ribosomal RNA". It matches the Rfam family "Bacterial small subunit ribosomal RNA". The record is from RNAcentral. Lineage: Bacteria; Bacillati; Bacillota; Bacilli; Caryophanales; Staphylococcaceae.
CCGUUAACGCUGGCGGCGUGCCUAAUACAUGCAAGUCGAGCGAACAGAUAAGGAGCUUGCUCCUUUGACGUUAGCGGCGGACGGGUGAGUAACACGUGGGUAACCUACCUAUAAGACUGGAAUAACUCCGGGAAACCGGGGCUAAUGCCGGAUAACAUAUAGAACCGCAUGGUUCUAUAGUGAAAGAUGGUUUUGCUAUCACUUAUAGAUGGACCCGCGCCGUAUUAGCUAGUUGGUAAGGUAAUGGCUUACCAAGGCGACGAUACGUAGCCGACCUGAGAGGGUGAUCGCCACACUGGAACUGAGACACGGUCCAGACUCCUACGGGAGGCAGCAGUAGGGAAUCUUCCGCAAUGGCGAAAGCCUGACGGAGCAACGCCGCGUGAGUGAUGAAGGUUUCGGCUCGAAAACUCUGUUUUUAGGGAAGACAUAUGUUUAAGAACUUGGCACCUUUGUCGGGCCUAAAAAAAAAGCCUCGUUUACUAAGGCCAACCGCCGGGUAAAACGGAGAGGGAGGCGUUAUCCGGAAUAUUGGCCUAAAGCGCCCGAGGCGUUUUUUAAGUUGAUGUGAAACCCGCGCUCAACCGGGGGGGUACUUGCAACUGGGAACAUUGUACCAUAAAAAAAAUUGAUUUCCAUAUUGAGGGUAAAAUUCCCAAAAUUUGGAGAACCCACGGGGGGAGCCGUUUUUUGGUUUGAACUAACCCUUAUUUCCAAACCCUGUUUUUAAAAAAAAAAGUAAAAACCCCUGGGAAACCCCCCCCUAAAAAAAAAGGGGCUAAACUUUAAAGGGUUUUACCCCCCAUUUAUGGGGGGGAAACAAAACU